AGAAAAAGGAAAGAAAAGCAGAUCUCGCGCCGGAACAUGCCCUCGCAAUCCAGGCUGCUGCCACUGCCAGUCCAGCUUCUACUCAUUCUUGCAGGCGCAGCAGCCAUGGCCGGGGCUGAACUAGAUGAGCAGCUGCCGAUCACACGUCCGGGCUGCCCUGACAAGUGCGGCAACCUGAGCAUCCCGUUCCCCUUUGGCCUGAUGCCCGGCUGCUUCCGCGAGGGCUUCCAGGUCACCUGCGACCACUCCGUCGACCCCCCUCGAGCGUUCCUCGCCGACACAGACACCAACCGCAUCAUGGUCACCGACCGCGACGCCUCGGCGGCCUCCGACGCCGCCGCCUAUCUGGGGUUCAACACCUCGUAUUUUCCGGUGGAGCUGGUGGACAUGUCAGCCGAUAGGAGCCAGGCGCGGGCGUACGGCCCCAUCACGUCCGGCUGCAGCACCAACAGCACCCAGUACAGGUUCCAAACCCAGGCCAUGACGCUCGGCAACGGCAUCACGGAGGGGCCGUUCGCCGUGUCGCGGACGCUCAACGUCGUCGUCGGCGUGGGCUGGAGGGUCGACGUCGUCAUGGACGGCCCGACCACGCCCGUCUGCCGCACUGGCACGGAGCGAGAGCUCGCGGUGAGGAACGGGUCGUGCGCGGGGCAGGGCUGCUGCGAGGCCGCCCUGCCCCGCGAGCCGGAGUACGGCAGCGUCGCGCCGGGGCUCCUGGUCGCGGACGAAAACGCCCGGUGGAGGUCCAGCCCGUGCUCCUACGCCAUGGUGGUCGAGAAGUCGCGCUACGUCUUCUCCACGCCGGACUUGUACGGCGACACGCUGCUGAUGGAGACGCUCCCCGUGGUGCUCGACUUCGCCAUCGUCGGGAACGCCUCGUGCCCGGCGAAAGGCCAGCGGCCACCUCCGGACUACGCGUGCGCCAGCCGCAACAGCUACUGUGUCAACGCCACAGUUGGCCUCUCGGGGUAUGCACUCAGCUACGUGUGCAAAUGCUCGGAGCACUACGCGGGCAACCCGUACAUCGCCGAUGGAUGCCGAGACAUCGAUGAGUGCAAGUUCCCCGAUCUAUACUACUGCUCGAGCAAAGGCGUAUGUAAGAACAGGCUGGGAGGAUAUGAUUGUCCAUGCAAGCCAGGAAUGAGAGGCGAUGGGAAAUUAGGACAGUGUGUUGAGAAAUUUCCCCUGGUAGCCAAGGCGAUUGUGGGUAAGUACCACUUCAACUGCUAAUACAUAUGCUGUUAAUUUUCAUACUACUGACAUGUACUACUUAAUUAAUAAAAGUAUAGGAUAGGAUGAAUGUUCAUAUAUAGGAUACCAUGUUAAUUCUAAAAUGAAGUCUGAAAAGAAGUGUACGUAAUAAGUCAAAAUGAGGUACAUGGACAACUACGUACACGACCCCUGCUCUUUUGCGCGUACGAACGCUCAAGACAGACAGGCCCAGACACGAGCCGUCAUCCUUGACCAAAUAAUGGGGCCGGUUACCCUGUGUGAGCUUGCGUGGUCCACUUCUUUUCCUUUUUUUUUGUCUGUGUAUUCCACAUUUCCACUUCAAUGCCAGUCCAAAGGACCUGCUGCACAGUGCUCUGGAUCAUCAAGAAAUUGGCAUGGUUUCCAACAUAUCAUAUGCCUUUGACUAAUAUGAUCUAUAGUAGUAUUUCUCUCUUGGUAAAAGUUAUGAAUCUAUACCAACGUAGAGACUAGCUUAGUAAGCUUGAAUCUGCCCAACAUUCACAUUGGAUCCAACACUAUUUUCUUCCUUGGUGCAUUUUGCUCAAUUCCUACUCAUCCAUUUAUGCAUUUUCUCAAUUUCUCGAUCCACCUUGCGGUAAACGUACAAGGAUGCAACCAACAAAGGUCCACAACUCCACAUGCAAAUACUUCCGCUUGGUAUAGAAAUCCAAUUCCCCGAGACAGAGUACAUAUAUAUGGCUUACUUUGUGAGGGUCGCUCACUCAAAGAGGACAAGGCAAAGUCCCUCCCCUUUCUUUCUAUUGUUAAACUAUUCACUAGUACUUCUGCUUUUAAGUCAAAUUCUAAAUAACUUGUUGAAUCAGUAAUUUAUUAUCUUUUAUGCAAUAUCAUUUGUUGCAAACUUUUUAGUAGGAUACUUUGCCAUGUAGGUAUCAUUGGUGGUAUUUCUGUCAUAGUAGUUAUGUCAUUUCUAGUUCUUCUCCGCAAAGAGAGAAGGAAGACCAGGGAGUUCUAUGAAAAGAAUGGUGGACCUACACUAGAAAGAGCAAAAAAUAUUAAAAUUUUCAAAAAGGAGGAGCUCGUGCCAAUUUUAAAGGAAAGCAAUCUUAUUGGAAGAGGUGGCUUCGGUGUAGUUUACAAGGGCACUCUUGGUAAAGAACAAGUUGCAGUGAAGCAACCGAUUAGUGGUAGUCUGCUGGAAAAUGACCAAUUUGCAAAUGAAGUCAUCAUCCAAUCUCAAGUCAUCCACAAGAAUAUUGUUAGGCUCAUAGGUUGUUGCCUCGAGGUUGGUACCCCAUUGCUAGUAUACGAAUUUCUCUCUGGUGGUAGCUUGGAUGACAUUCUUCACAGCAAAGACAAGAAGCCUCUAAACUUGGAUAUACGUUUAAGUAUUGCUGUAGAAUCAGCAGAUGGUCUUGCUUACAUGCAUUCAAAAACAAACACCAAAAUCCUACACGGUGAUGUUAAACCAGCAAAUAUACUUUUGGAUGAUAAGUUUGUCCCCAAGAUCUCGGACUUUGGCAUAUCAAGGUUGAUUGCGGGAGACAAAGAACACACCGGAAGAAUCAUCGGUGACAUGAGCUAUAUGGAUCCAGUAUAUCUGCAGUCAGGCCUGCUAACUGAAAAGAGUGAUGUCUAUAGCUUCGGAGUGGUGUUGUUGGAACUUAUUAGUAGGAAGAAGGCCAUACAUUCUGACAAUAAGAACUUAGUAAAGAGCUUCCUUGAAGCUCGCAACAACAAGAGCAGAAUAACCGAGUUGAUUGACAAUGAAAUUGCGGCAGCAGAGGACUUGGAGCUUCUUCAAAAUCUGGCAGGGAUGGCAGUGGAGUGUCUCAACCUUGACGUGGAUCAGAGACCAGCGAUGGCAGAUAUAGCACACCGCCUUCUAAUACUGAACAAGUCUCGUAGGUCGUAAGUUCUUGGACGCUGAGUGAACACAUAUGUUUGUGAUAACCUUUUUUUUUUUGCUAUUUUGAGCAAAUAUUAUUGAUACAUAUGGGAAACGUGUCCAUUAGUUCCAAGAAAAUAUGUACUUGGUUGUAACUCACUCGCUGUGUAACCAUGUAUUCGUGUUAGCAAUUGUACGUCUUCCAUAUGCAAAGGAGCAAUCAUCUUCACAUUAGCGUAUAAUUAGCAAAUUUCCCCAUGUGCUUGGAUGAACC
RNAcentral lists this ribosomal RNA (3356 nucleotides) under Triticum aestivum (bread wheat). RNAcentral describes it as "partial small subunit ribosomal RNA". Lineage: Eukaryota; Viridiplantae; Streptophyta; Magnoliopsida; Poales; Poaceae. The record is from RNAcentral.